Molecule: long non-coding RNA, 245 nt
Organism: Etheostoma cragini (Arkansas darter)
Lineage: Eukaryota; Metazoa; Chordata; Actinopteri; Perciformes; Percidae
Exons: 3
Source: RefSeq, a predicted model, not a curated record
UUGUGAAAAACCACAAUAUAUUUGUUUUAUUUUUAACUAUGCAAAAGAAACGGACAGGGGUUUUUGUUAAGUUUGCACUAUUUGCAUUAGUGUUUGCACAUGACUUGUAUUGUUAAGUCUGCACAUCACUAGCUAAAUGUACGGGUUCAGUUUGUGUGAGAGAAUUGUGAUGUUUUACUAUCUAUACUAUAUGCACUAUAUGAGCACAGGUGCAAUGUGUGUGCUGUUAAAGUGUACUUUCAGUA